AGAAGGCAACUAAAUUUGAUGGAGACAUUGUUGGAACAAAUAUCGCAUAGGAAUUUGAUUGUGAUUAAAAUCUAACUAAUUUUAUGAUAACAAUAAAUAAAUCAAACUUACAGAUGACGCAAAUAUUCCAAUAAAGAUAUGAUCUUAUCCGGAAGCGUGCGAGGCACUGCCCUAAGGCGUAUUCCCGUCCUUACGUGCGGGAUUAACCGGAAAUAACACCCCAAGGUACGACCGGAAUUCCUCCUCCUACGAGCACGAUCGUGAAGGAGGUUGACGAAGAUUCUCAACACCCAGUGGAUAAGGGGAAUGUUCAAAAAUAAAAGAUAAAAGAAUAAAAGGAUAGAGAUUAACCAAUGAUCAAAAAUCUUUUCUACCUGCUCUGUUUUUUUUUUUUAUUCCAGAGGAGGAAAAGAGAAAGGGAAUUUAACGCUUUUUCUCUUACGAGAGAGAAGCGGAACCCGCCCAACGUAAUGCGAAAGAAACGGAACGGAAAAUAUUCCGUUAGUUUCUUUCUCAUUAAGAAAGAUAAUAAAAUAAUUAAAUAAAAUAAAAUAAAUAAAGUAGUAAAUAAAUAAAAUAAUAAAUAAUAAAUAAUAAAUAAUAAAACAUCAAAGUGCAAAUAAAAUAAAUUCAAACUCAAAAUUUUGAGUUUUCACCAACAAUCCCCCACAAAACUCAAAAUUUUAAAAUUACGAAUUAAAAUCAAAUUUACUGGGUGUUUUAUACUAUGCAAUGGGUGAGGUGUUUUUAAAAAACUUAACCUCACUUAGUGUAAAUAGUUUCCAUCAGAAGGAAUCGGAGUGAACCAGGUCUUGAACUACGUUCCUUUGGCCCUGACUUCAACUACCACACACACAGUACAGAAUUCUCCGUCGCGGGUCUGUGCGUUAAUGGCCAUGCACAGUACCUUGAUUUUUCAUAAGAGUUUCUAUGNN
Molecule: long non-coding RNA, 935 nt
Filed under: Ananas comosus (pineapple)
Lineage: Eukaryota; Viridiplantae; Streptophyta; Magnoliopsida; Poales; Bromeliaceae
Description: long non-coding RNA (ACOM_LNC031375)
Source: RNAcentral